RNAcentral lists this ribosomal RNA (495 nucleotides) under uncultured bacterium. Its description in RNAcentral is "partial 16S ribosomal RNA". It matches the Rfam family "Bacterial small subunit ribosomal RNA", at positions 28 to 507 of the family's 1533-position model. The record is from RNAcentral.
GACGAACGCUGGCGGCGUGCCUAAUACAUGCAAGUAGAACGCUGAAGGAGGAGCUUGCUCUUCUGGAUGAGUUGCGAACGGGUGAGUAACGCGUAGGUAACCUGCCUGGUAGCGGGGGAUAACUAUUGGAAACGAUAGCUAAUACCGCAUAAGAGUAGAUGUUGCAUGACAUUUGCUUAAAAGGUGCAAUUGCAUCACUACCAGAUGGACCUGCGUUGUAUUAGCUAGUUGGUGGGGUAACGGCUCACCAAGGCGACGAUACAUAGCCGACCUGAGAGGGGGAUCGGCCACACUGGGACUGAGACACGGCCCAGACUCCUACGGGAGGCAGCAGUAGGGAAUCUUCGGCAAUGGACGGAAGUCUGACCGAGCAACGCCGCGGGAGUGAAGAAGGUUUUCGGAUCGUAAAGCUCUGUUGUAAGAGAAGAACGAGUGUGAGAGUGGAAAGUUCACACUGUGACGGUAUCUUACCAGAAAGGGACGGCUAACUACGUG